ACUGGAUGUUCAGACGGUGCUCUUCCUCAGUGCUGCCUACGGAGGUGGCAGCUGUCUCCUACUCAGCACCAUGGCUGCCCUCAGACCCCUCGUGAAACCCAAGAUUGCCAAGAAGAGGACCAUGAAGUUCAUCCGGCACCAGUCAGACCAAUAUGUCAAAAUUAAGCAGAACUGGCGGAAACGCAGAGGCAUUGACAAUAAGGUGCGUAAAGAUUCAAGGGCCAGAUCUUGAAUAACAUUGGUUAUGGGAGCAACAAGAAAACAAAGCACAUGCUGCCUGUGGCUUUCGGAAGUUUCUAGCCAUAACGUCAAGGAGCUUGAAGUGCUGCUGAUGUGCAACAGAUCUCACUGUGCUGAGACUGCUCACAGCGUCUCCUCAAAGAACUGCAAAGCCAUUGUGGAAAGAGC
Myotis davidii is the source of this 408-nucleotide long non-coding RNA. RefSeq lists it as uncharacterized. The record is from RefSeq and is a predicted model, not a curated record. NCBI's taxonomy places the organism in Eukaryota, Metazoa, Chordata, Mammalia, Chiroptera, Vespertilionidae. The transcript is spliced from 3 exons.